Molecule: small nuclear RNA, 156 nt
Organism: Erinaceus europaeus (western European hedgehog)
Lineage: Eukaryota; Metazoa; Chordata; Mammalia; Eulipotyphla; Erinaceidae
Gene: U1
Rfam family: U1 spliceosomal RNA
About the family: U1 is a small nuclear RNA (snRNA) component of the spliceosome (involved in pre-mRNA splicing). Its 5' end forms complementary base pairs with the 5' splice junction, thus defining the 5' donor site of an intron.
Source: Ensembl
AUACUUACCCAGCAGAGGAGAUAGCAUGAUCACCAAGGUGGUUUUCCCAAGGCAAGGCUUAUCCGUUGCACUCCGGAUGUGCUAAGCCUCCCCCAAAUGUGGGAAACUCAACUGCAGAAUUUGUGGUAGUGGUGAGACUGCUUUCACUAUCCCCUC